GUGGGGAAUAUUGCACAAUGGGCGCAAGCCUGAUGCAGCCAUGCCGCGUGUAUGAAGAAGGCCUUCGGGUUGUAAAGUACUUUCAGCGAGGAGGAAGGCAUUAAGGUUAAUAACCUUAGUGAUUGACGUUACUCGCAGAAGAAGCACCGGCUAACUCCGUGCCAGCAGCCGCGGUAAUACGGAGGGUGCAAGCGUUAAUCGGAAUUACUGGGCGUAAAGCGCACGCAGGCGGUCUGUCAAGUCGGAUGUGAAAUCCCCGGGCUCAACCUGGGAACUGCAUCCGAAACUGGCAGGCUAGAGUCUUGUAGAGGGGGGUAGAAUUCCAGGUGUAGCAGUGAAAUGCGUAGAGAUGUGGAGGAACACCGAUGGCGAAGGCAGCCCCCUGGGAUGACACUGACGCUCAUGUACGAAAGCGUGGGUAGCAAACAGGAUUAGAAACCCGUGUAGUCC
Molecule: ribosomal RNA, 450 nt
Filed under: uncultured bacterium
Lineage: Bacteria
Description: partial 16S ribosomal RNA
Rfam family: Bacterial small subunit ribosomal RNA
Source: RNAcentral